UGUGUGAGGGGGGACAGGUGAGUGUGUGUGAGGGGGACAGGUGAGUGUGUGUGAGGGGGGACAGGUGAGGGUGUGUGAGGGGGACAGGUGAGUGUGUGUGAGGGGGACAGGUGGGGUGUAUUACUGUGCUGACUAUCUCUCCCCUGGCCAAGGCGGCUAACAGGUGAGUCAGCACACAGGUGAUGCGUUCUCCUCCAAUGACAGCAGGGGAAACUUCCACAUUCUAAAGACUUAUUUAUUUUUUAAAGAAUCAGAAGAAUGUUGGGAUGUGGAGCCACUCUUUCUGAAACUUGCACAGCGCGAAUGGUGGCUUAGCGGUUCUGCUUGAACACGUAAACGCUUGCAAACGUGUUUUAUACGAACUUUCCAGGAGAGCAGAUCCGCUAAAACACACAUCCAGGUGUUUCUCUGAAUGUUCAGUGGAGCUUGUAGACGACGUGUAAGGAACGUGAGCAGAUUCAUAAACUGUGAAUACACCUAUUUCUUAUUGUUAAAGUAGAACAAAGGACACAUAUAAACACUAUUUUAGUUUUGUUUUAUUUUAUUAAUCAGUUGUAACAUGUAUUAGCAAAUAAAAGUCUUAAUAUCAGUCAGUGUGGUACUAGGGUUGGCGGUACGGUGGCUGGUGUGGGACAGUUGGAUGGAUAGAAGGACAGCAGUGUUUUAUUGUCUAUCAGCAUUACAUGAAGUAUCUGUAACAACAUAAACUAUGGGACCCUUUGCUGGUGUGGUUGUUUUACACGUGUCUAACAUGCUGUCCAUGUACUGUGAUGAAUAAAUGACCUUUAGAAAAAU
Nothobranchius furzeri (turquoise killifish) is the source of this 795-nucleotide non-coding RNA. NCBI's taxonomy places the organism in Eukaryota, Metazoa, Chordata, Actinopteri, Cyprinodontiformes, Nothobranchiidae. The record is from RefSeq and is a predicted model, not a curated record.